GCAUCCACAACAUUCAAUAUGUUCCUAGUAUCGAGGACAUUGAAUUUUAUGAAAGUGUGGAGGAUGAACAUGCAAGGGAGGAAGGUGCUAGUACAAUUGAUCAGCCUGAAAUGCCAUCUACGUCUAAAUCAUCUAAAGCUUCAAAGAAUUCAAGGGUAGGUAAUGCCGGCAAAAGUAAAGCAGCAAAAUAAGAGCUGCAAGUUGGAGUUGUCAUGGAGUUCUAGACCUGUUGAGCAUGGGAGCCGGCCGAGCAGCAAUUUGUGAUUUUGUGCAAAACGGGAGGAUUGUGUUCAUGUUUCUGUUGCAGUUGU
Molecule: long non-coding RNA, 311 nt
Organism: Rosa chinensis
Lineage: Eukaryota; Viridiplantae; Streptophyta; Magnoliopsida; Rosales; Rosaceae
Exons: 3
Source: RefSeq, a predicted model, not a curated record